CUCCUUGUGGUGUAGUUGGCUAUCACGUUCGACUGUAAUCGUUUAAAAAUCAUAAUCGAAAGGUCACCGGCUCGAUUCCGGUCGAGGAGA
Molecule: non-coding RNA, 90 nt
Organism: Cercophora scortea
Lineage: Eukaryota; Fungi; Ascomycota; Sordariomycetes; Sordariales; Lasiosphaeriaceae
Source: the annotation of a GenBank genome assembly